This is an RNA transcript of Homo sapiens (human), 1503 nucleotides long. It is a transcript of the gene named YdjC chitooligosaccharide deacetylase homolog, with no coding region annotated. The record is from RefSeq and is marked validated. The transcript has 4 exons. NCBI's taxonomy places the organism in Eukaryota, Metazoa, Chordata, Mammalia, Primates, Hominidae.
AGGCGGCCAUGUCCCGCCCUCGCAUGCGCCUGGUGGUCACCGCGGACGACUUUGGUUACUGCCCGCGACGCGAUGAGGGUAUCGUGGAGGCCUUUCUGGCCGGGGCUGUGACCAGCGUGUCCCUGCUGGUCAACGGUGCGGCCACGGAGAGCGCGGCGGAGCUGGCCCGCAGGCACAGCAUCCCCACGGGCCUCCACGCCAACCUGUCCGAGGGCCGCCCCGUGGGUCCGGCCCGCCGUGGCGCCUCAUCGCUGCUCGGCCCGGAAGGCUUCUUCCUUGGCAAGAUGGGAUUCCGGGAGGCGGUGGCGGCCGGAGACGUGGAUUUGCCUCAGGUGCGGAGCCGCAGCUACAGGAGGAUGCUCGCGAGGACCCCCAGAGCUCCGCCCGGAGGGUACUGUGAGGCCGUUAGGAGCUGGCGGUGGAUGACUUCCGCAUUCAAACACUGGAGCCAUCACACGGAAGCACGAGGAGGGUAUCCUCGGCAGCUACUCCCGGUCGCUCAAGGUGUCUCUCGCUCGCCCUCUAGGUGCGGGAGGAGCUCGAGGCCCAACUAAGCUGCUUCCGGGAGCUGCUGGGCAGGGCCCCCACGCACGCGGACGGGCACCAGCACGUGCACGUGCUCCCAGGCGUGUGCCAGGUGUUCGCCGAGGCGCUGCAGGCCUAUGGGGUGCGCUUUACGCGACUGCCGCUGGAGCGCGGUGUGGGUGGCUGCACUUGGCUGGAGGCCCCCGCGCGUGCCUUCGCCUGCGCCGUGGAGCGCGACGCCCGGGCCGCCGUGGGCCCCUUCUCCCGCCACGGCCUGCGGUGGACAGACGCCUUCGUGGGCCUGAGCACUUGCGGCCGGCACAUGUCCGCUCACCGCGUGUCCGGGGCCCUGGCGCGGGUCCUGGAAGGUACCCUAGCGGGCCACACCCUGACAGCCGAGCUGAUGGCGCACCCCGGCUACCCCAGUGUGCCUCCCACCGGCGGCUGCGGUGAAGGCCCCGACGCUUUCUCUUGCUCUUGGGAGCGGCUGCAUGAGCUGCGCGUCCUCACCGCGCCCACGCUGCGGGCCCAGCUUGCCCAGGAUGGCGUGCAGCUUUGCGCCCUCGACGACCUGGACUCCAAGAGGCCAGGGGAGGAGGUCCCCUGUGAGCCCACUCUGGAACCCUUCCUGGAACCCUCCCUACUCUGACCCCCUACAGACAACCAAGCACUAAUCCCCUUAGUACCAAGAAAGGGGAGCCAGGAUUUAGUCCUGGCCCAGCCCAGAGCUGGGACCUGGAGCACGAUCUGUUGACUUCCCUGGGUAGGACACUGCCACCUCUGGGCUCAGGUCCUCAUGCCUCCAAAUGGCAUCUAGAGUUUGAGCAGCCUUCUUGGCUGCAGGCAGGCCUAGCCUGUGGCAGCGGGCUAGGGCCCGCAGAGCAUUUGGUGCCCCUCCAUGUUGCAAUGCAAACACCUUCACCACUGGGGCAGUGGGGAGAGAUGGCUAUAUUAAUAAAAUAACGUGUGUCUUUCAAA